This 315-nucleotide ribosomal RNA is filed under the name uncultured bacterium. Its description in RNAcentral is "partial 16S ribosomal RNA". It matches the Rfam family "Bacterial small subunit ribosomal RNA", at positions 498 to 808 of the family's 1533-position model. The record is from RNAcentral.
UGUAUAAGAGACAGCAGCCGCCACGGGAAUACGAAGGGUGCAAGCGUUACUCGGAAUUACUGGGCGUAAAGCGUGCGUAGGUGGUGGUUUAAGUCCGUUGUGAAAGCCCUGGGCUCAACCUGGGAAUUGCAGUGGAUACUGGGUCACUAGAGUGUGGUAGAGGAUAGUGGAAUUUCCGGUGUAGCAGUGAAAUGCGUAGAGAUCGGAAGGAACAUCUGUGGCGAAGGCGACUAUCUGGCCAACACUGACACUGAGGCACGAAAGCGUGGGGAGCAAACAGGAUUAGAUACCCGCGUAGUCCCUGUCUCUUAUACC